Long non-coding RNA from Clupea harengus (Atlantic herring), 1055 nucleotides. The record is from Ensembl. NCBI's taxonomy places the organism in Eukaryota, Metazoa, Chordata, Actinopteri, Clupeiformes, Clupeidae.
ACGGGGUGACCCAGGGAGCUGUGGGGUGGGGGAGGUGGAGUGUGCUGAGCUCUGAUGUGGACAGGGGUAGGGGUAGCUGGUCAGCGUGCUGCGCUAGGGGGCCUGUGCUGCUUUGGGACCUGGCAGCCUCUUGGCCUCUGACAGGUGCAGAGCGUGUUAGGGCCUGUGGGGUGAAUGGGGUCUUUGUGGCAGAGGAUUCACCCUGCAGAGAGAGAGAGAUAGAUAGAGAGAGAGAAAGAGAAAGAGAAAGAAAAGAAGAAAGAGAGGGGGAGACAGAGAUCGAGACCGGUAGAAUGGGAGAAUGGAAGACAGCAACAGAUCGUGAGAUGGAUGGAAAGAGAAAGAAAGAAAAAAAGGGAGAGAGAGAGAGAGAGGGAGAGAGGGGCAGAGCCAUGUAAGGCAUGGGCAGCAGGGCCCAGGGGCUUAUCGGCUGAGGUUGGAGCGUUAGGAAGGAAGCCUGUGAGUGUGCUGGGCAAGGAUAGGGUGGAGCUGCGGUAAGACUGAGAGAGGAGUGAGAGGAGUGCCACUCUUCCCUUCCUUGGACCCCCACUCUCAAGAGUGAUCGCUGGGGACAGUGGUGGGUGGGGAAAGGGGGUGGGGUGUCAGCUCUAUGAGUAAGUGUUAUCACAACGUUCAAUCGCUGAAAGAGUAGGCCGCGUUUUUUUUUUUUAUAUAUCCUCUGUGUGCUCUAAAUCUGAUAUCAUGAGAUACUGUGCGUCACAGAGCUGUGCUGUUCAAGAAGAGCCAAAAAUGGAAAAUCAAGAAUGGUCAAUGAACUAAAAUGAAUGUGCUUCUUUGGUGGCCACUUGCAUUUUAUUAUUUUGUUAUGUUGUAUACACAACAAAUAAAAACAAAAAAUUUGUCGAGCAUUCCAUUGAGAGAGGGAGGCGAGCUCUGAAUUCAUAUUUGAGUGUUUACGUUUCAGGUUCUCAGUUCUCUCGUCCUGUCCCAAAGUGGGGUUAUUUAAAGAGACCAACAUGCUGUUACUGAAGCUUACUGAGACAUCAGGGCUGCAGGGCUGUUAUGUGUGCGAGUAGCGUGUGUGUGUGUGUGUG